This 808-nucleotide ribosomal RNA is filed under the name Ophiocordyceps humbertii. Its description in RNAcentral is "partial large subunit ribosomal RNA". It matches the Rfam family "Eukaryotic large subunit ribosomal RNA", at positions 76 to 933 of the family's 3401-position model. The record is from RNAcentral. Lineage: Eukaryota; Fungi; Ascomycota; Sordariomycetes; Hypocreales; Ophiocordycipitaceae.
UGCCCCAGUAACGGCGAGAGCGGCAACAGCUCAAAUUUGAAAUCCGGCGCCCGCGCCCGAGUUGUAAUUUGCAGAGGACGCUUCUGGCGCGGCGCCUUCCGAGUUCCCUGGAACGGGACGCCGAAGAGGGUGAGAGCCCCGUCCGGUCGGACGCCAAGCCUGCGUGAAGCUCCUUCGACGAGUCGAGUAGUUUGGGAAUGCUGCUCUAAACGGGAGGUAUAUGUCUUCUACAGCUACAUACCGGCCAGAGACCGAUACCGCACAAGUAGAGUGAUCGAAAGAUGCAAAGCACUUUGCAAAGAGGGUUACACAGUACGUGAAAUUGUUGAAAGGGAAGCGCUCGCGACCAGACACGGCCCCGACGGAUCAGCCGGCUACGCGCCGGCGCACUCCGCUCCGGGCCAGCAUCGGUUAGCGGGGGACAAAGGCGCCGGGAACGUGGCUCCCCGGGAGUGUUAUAGCCCGGCGCGCAAUGCCCCGCGCGGACCGAGGUACGCGGCAAGGAUGCUGGCGUACUGGUCGCCAGCGACCCGUCUUGCAACACGGACCAAGGAGUCGUCCUCGCAUGCGAGUGUUCGGGUGUCAAACCCCUACGCGGAAUGCAAGUGCACGCAGGUGGGAGCCUCGGCGCACCACCGACCGAUCCUGAUGUCCUCGGAUGGAUUUGCGUACGAGCAUGCGGGGCCGGACCCGAAAGAAGGUGCACUAUGCCUGUGUACGGUGAAGCCAGAGGAAACUCUGGUGGAGGCUCGCAGCGGUUCUGCCGUGCAAAUCGAUCGUCAAACAUGGGCAUGGGGGCGAAAGACUA